Molecule: transfer RNA, 92 nt
Filed under: Microbacteriaceae bacterium
Lineage: Bacteria; Bacillati; Actinomycetota; Actinomycetes; Micrococcales; Microbacteriaceae
Also listed under: 1 other name
Description: tRNA-Ser
Rfam family: tRNA
About the family: Transfer RNA (tRNA) molecules are approximately 80 nucleotides in length. Their secondary structure includes four short double-helical elements and three loops (D, anti-codon, and T loops).
Source: RNAcentral
GGAGCCGUGCCGGAGCGGCCGAACGGACAUCACUGCUAAUGAUGGGUCUGGGUUAUACCGGACCGCGGGUUCAAAUCCCGCCGGCUCCGCCA